RNAcentral lists this ribosomal RNA (119 nucleotides) under Pteropus alecto (black flying fox). Lineage: Eukaryota; Metazoa; Chordata; Mammalia; Chiroptera; Pteropodidae. The record is from RNAcentral.
GUCUAUGGCCAUGUUACCCUGAACAAGCCUGAUCUCGUCUGAUCUCCAAAGCUAAGCAGGGUCGGGCCUGGUUAGUACUUGGAUGGGAGACCACCUAAGAAGACCAGAUGCUAUAGGCG